UGUAAAAGUGUACAAACGACAGACUAAAGGGAUUCAGGGUGACAUAUGCUGUUUAGGGGUGAUAUAUACUCAUGUUCAUUCAUAUAAGAAGAUUUAUCAACAUGAAACUGUUCGUAAUAUUUAUACCAACUUAUCCAUUUACUUGAUUAUAUGCAAACUGCGCUAAUAGAUUGUGAGGCGUUGGAUCUCGAUCUGAUGGAUAAGUAGGGACGCGAAUCUCAUAGGACCAAUAUGGAAUUUUCGUAAAUACGCUCAUCUUCGUUUUACUCUGUCAUCGUCGCACAUUAUCUAUUCAACGAUCUUCAUCGUACAUCAAAAUCAGUUUCAAUAUCUUUAAAAAAGGCACGCGUAAUUAUAAAUUCAGGUGUCAAAAUCCUCUGUUUGAUCUUGCUGGUGACAAGGAGAAGCAAUGGUGUUCUAUUUGGAUAGUGAUUUGGUUUUUUAAGCUUAACAAAAUGACAAUAUUUGUAACUUGAUUGUAUUUCAAUCUUUUUAGAUGUAAUGCAUCUAUUUGUGAAGCUUUAAUAUACAUGCUCA
This is a long non-coding RNA of Amaranthus tricolor (Joseph's coat), 537 nucleotides long. RefSeq lists it as uncharacterized. The transcript has 2 exons. Lineage: Eukaryota; Viridiplantae; Streptophyta; Magnoliopsida; Caryophyllales; Amaranthaceae. The record is from RefSeq and is a predicted model, not a curated record.